This 2505-nucleotide long non-coding RNA is filed under the name Carassius auratus (goldfish). RNAcentral's name for it is "lncRNA (ENSCARG00000059425.1)". Lineage: Eukaryota; Metazoa; Chordata; Actinopteri; Cypriniformes; Cyprinidae. The record is from RNAcentral.
AUCCACGCUACCUGAAAGAAGGCCGCCUUCUGAAUCCAACGAUACCGGUUAUGUGCACAUCGGACCUACGCUUCAAAAGAUACGGACAGAUCCACGCUACCUGAAAGAAGGCCGCCUUCUGAAUCCAACGAUACCAGUUAUGUGCACAUCGGACCUACGCUUCAAAAGAUACGGACAGCUCACUGGCUCUGCUUCGGUGACAUCACUGAAGUUUCACAUCUGACCCGGACCCUCACUUACUUCGAGUCCUUUUGCAAUGGCUGAACAAGCUGAGAGGAGAAAAGCUGACCGGCGCUUCACUGCUUGGUUUGCCACAGACCGCAGGAGAACCUACCUGUCCACCUGGCGAGAAACAGCACGCCGGAACAAAUAGCCUCAGAGAACCUCGCAGGAGAACUUCUGAACCGUGGCUUCUUCGUGACAGACCUGCCCCUGGGAGCCCGGAGCCGGAGGUUUGGCGGAGGAGGCUGAUGACCCGUCCUGUCUUCAUGAAAAAUAAGUGUACUCUGACCGUGCAACACACGUGCGAAACACAAAAAGCACCACGAGAGGAUCCACGCUACCUGAAAGAAGGCCGCCUUCUGAAUCCAACGAUACCAGUUAUGUGCACAUCGGACCUACGCUUCAAAAGAUACGGACAGGUAAGCUUUGGCCAAUCAGAUCGCAUAUGCUAACGAGGGUGGAAUUAAUGAGGGUGAAACUCGUUUUUAUCUAUAUACCUAGCUGCAACUGACCCCAAACUAGCCCCUAAACCUUAACCCUCAAAACUGCUAGCCUUAGCCCCAAACAAAACUGCUAGCCUUAGCCCCACUGACCGUAACCCACUGACCCCUGGCCCCACCGUUUUUAAACGUGCCAGUCCCUAGACUCUGUAAACCUUUAUCAACCAGACGCUUCAUCAAAUUCUGUACAGAAAUAUCAUAAAACUAAUAUCAUAUUCUCCAGGAUAUAACCCUUGGCUUCUCGGUCGCCCUCUCCUGGAUAAAACUGUGAAUAGCCAUGUGUAAAAAACUGAUUAGGAUUCCAAUAUUUUAGCAGGAUUUGACACUCCAGGCGGAGCUCUUGAGCGGAUGACUUCACUCAAAGACAUCUUUCCAGUCUAAUUUUAAUGAUGCACUCUCUCUCUCUUUCACAAACACACACAUACACUCCUGUGCACACUCACACGCACGUGUGCACACUCACACGCAUAUGCAGUCAAAACACACAGACGCACACGAACUGGCUGGAAAACUAUUUUUAUUCAGGCUAGUGAUACCUUGUUCCUAAAAAGACAAAUGAUUUGACGGGUUAUUUCGUUUGGAUGUAUUUCUUGUUUUUAUCGAUGACUGGCUUCCUUUUUGUCACGCUUUAGACUGAUGUACGGUCACAUUGGAUUUGAAAACGACAUCCUUUCUUCCAUAGAUCCACGCUACCUGAAAGAAGGCCGCCUUCUGAAUCCAACGAUACCAGUUAUGUGCACAUCGACCUACGCUUCAAAAGAUACGGACAGGUAAGCUUUGGCCAAUCAGAUCGCAUAUGCUAACGAGGGUGGAAUUAAUGAGGGUGAAACUCGUUUUUAUCUAUAUACCUAGCUGCAACUGACCCCAAACUAGCCCCUAAACCUUAACCCUCAAAACUGCUAGCCUUAGCCCCAAACAAAACUGCUAGCUUAGCCCCACUGACCGUAACCCACUGACCCCUGGCCCCACCGUUUUUAAACGUGCCAGUCCCUAGACUCUGUAAACCUUUAUCAACCAGACGCUUCAUCAAAUUCUGUACAGAAAUAUCAUAAAACUAAUAUCAUAUUCUCCAGGAUAUAACCCUUGGCUUCUCGGUCGCCCUCUCCUGGAUAAAACUGUGAAUAGCCAUGUGUAAAAAACUGAUUAGGAUUCCAAUAUUUUAGCAGGAUUUGACACUCCAGGCGGAGCUCUUGAGCGGAUGACUUCACUCAAAGACAUCUUUCCAGUCUAAUUUUAAUGAUGCACUCUCUCUCUCUUUCACAAACACACACAUACACUCCUGUGCACACUCACACGCACGUGUGCACACUCACACGCAUAUGCAGUCAAAAACACACAGACGCACACGAACUGGCUGGAAAACUAUUUUAUUCAGGCUAGUGAUACCUUGUUCCUAAAAAGACAAAUGAUUUCACGGUUAUUUCGUUUGGAUGUAUUUCUUGUUUUAUCGAUGACUGGCUUCCUUUUUGUCACGCUUUAGACUGAUGUACGGUCACAUUGGAUUUGAAAACGACAUCCUUUCUUCCAUAGAUCCACGCUACCUGAAAGAAGGCCGCCUUCUGAAUCCAACGAUACCAGUUAUGUGCACAUCGGACCUACGCUUCAAAAGAUACGGACAGGUAAGCUUUGGCCAAUCAGAUCGCAUAUGCUAACGAGGGUGGAAUUAAUGAGGGUGAAACUCGUUUUUAUCUAUAUACCUAGCUGCAACUGACCCCAAACUAGCCCCUAAACCUUAAACCUCAAAAACUGCUAGCCUUAGCCCCAAACAAAACUGCUAGCCUUA